GGUGGCAUAGCCAAGUGGUAAGGCACGGGUCUGCAAAACCCAGAUCCCCGGUUCAAAUCCGGGUGUCACCUCCA
This 74-nucleotide transfer RNA is filed under the name Bacillota bacterium. RNAcentral's name for it is "tRNA-Cys". It matches the Rfam family "tRNA". Rfam says of the family: Transfer RNA (tRNA) molecules are approximately 80 nucleotides in length. Their secondary structure includes four short double-helical elements and three loops (D, anti-codon, and T loops). Lineage: Bacteria; Bacillati; Bacillota. The record is from RNAcentral.